Non-coding RNA from Vicia faba (fava bean), 327 nucleotides. The record is from the annotation of a GenBank genome assembly. Lineage: Eukaryota; Viridiplantae; Streptophyta; Magnoliopsida; Fabales; Fabaceae.
GAAGAUCGAAAAUAUAAAGCAAUGAGUCAACUAGUCAAUGUGAAACUAGGAGUGAUGCAAUACGAGCAUGGAAGAAAACAGAAAAAACAAAACGUACAUUUAUGCUUCAAUUUAACUGUUAUCAAAGCAAGUUCUGGGAGUUCUUACAAGCUAACCAAUUGUUUUCAAAAUGUUCAAAGCAAAAGUACUAUCUGCAAGGGUGUUCAUGGAACCAAAUAUUGGAAACAACUCAAGUUACACUUGGAGAAGUAUUUGUAUGUGUGCUGCUUAAAGAAGGCAUUAUACAUUAUACUUCACUUCAUUCCACUGAAACAUUGUAUAUUCUAG